AUUCCCGUCAUUCCUAACUUUACCAAUAUUUUAUAUUUUAAUAGAUUUUAAAUGACAAUGGAGGCUAAUCUUGGGUUCUUCUUAAGCAUGUAUUCACUCAUUGGACUCCAAAAUCCAAAAUUUUCCCUAACUUUGUUUUUAGUCCGAAAGAUUGUGCCUCUUUCAGUUCCAAAUCUACUAAGUUGAAUAACUGAAAAGAGAAUUUGCAAUUUCUUGAGGAUAAGCAUGUUUUGGGAGGGGUAUAUUGAAGAAAGCUCAUCCUAAGUGUUCAAUAUUUCUGAAGAAAGAUGAGGGAAUUGGUAUAUAGGAGGGUCAGUUCUUCGGGGUUUCACAAGGAACUUGGUAGAGGCAUGUCCCGAUCCAUAUUUGGUAGAGGUAUUCACGUAUUUUACAUCACCAUUAAGGCAUGGUCACUUCAAUUUGACUAUCCUAGAUUCAUUUGGACAUAGAUCUUAUGGGAAUAUACUAAGUUUUCUGCAAUUGCAUGUUUAUCGCAUCAUAUUCCCUCCUUAAGAUUGCAACAUGACUUAAUUGUGUGCAAAUGUCUAUCUUUCAAUUUUCAAAGUAAAUAUUCGGAUUUGCCGUUAUCCGACUCUUCUUCUUCCUCUUUCUUUGUCGUUUUAUUUUUGGUGGAUUUCAUAGGUGAAUUUUUCUUUUCCCUUGUUUUUAGCCAUAUCUAUGUUACAGUAUUCAAAGUUAACAGGUUUGAUGUUCUCUGAUAUUGAUGUUCUCUUAUAUUGACUGUUCUCUAUGCUGCAUGUGUUAGCUCUAUCUUGAGAUAAAUGUACGAUGUCCAUUUAUAAUUCUUCAUUUUUUAUACUAUAUCUAUUUAAAAAUUAAGACUCUUAUCAUGACAAAACUGUCAAAAUAAGAACCUCCCAUAAUCCUUCACUUCUCGUUCAAUUCCAAUAGCAGAUUUAUUGUGAGAAGAAAGAGUAGAGAAGUUCACAAUAUAAGUUGUUUUGCAGGAAAAUGAAGUCCCUACUGGAGCUUACUUUUGACUUUUGUUAUGUAAAUAGAUAUUCAAACGACCACUGUAACCAUGAAACAAAGCUUUGUUUGGUAAACCUUUUCAAAGAUAUGUGAUUCCCAGGAAGCCUCCUUCGUUGAUCUUUCUGAGAAGUUGCAAAUGAGGUGAACCACUCAACUAGGUAUAAUUCUACUUUGAAAGAUGACGUUGAAUAUUAGAAUUGAGGCUAAGUUUUAUACCUAUUUGAGUUGAAAAUCCCACAAUUUAUGUUAAGCUCUGUCUGGAAUUAUUUCUGAAUUGUCGCAGGUCUCUUCGAUUUCCUCCCUUUAAAACUUCCAAAAGAGAUGGGCAUCAUCAUGUACUUAUCAGGAUAACUACUACCUUAGAAAAUUUAGACAAUCUAAAUAUUUUGUGAAUGAUUAGUAAUAUGAGCUUCGCUCAAACCAUUGUGAUUAGGACAUUCCCUCUAACUUCGUAUACUUGGUCUUCUUUUUUUCAGGGAAUGCCCAGAUAAAACACGUGCUGCCAUCUGUAGCAGCUAGAAUCUAGAUUUUAUCCACUUGUAGAGUCAAUUUCUUUCAUUUUAGCUAGCUCAACAAUGUAAUGGUAAACUUUGUUCCUCAACAGAAUGUACAGAGAAUGAAGCAUAUUAUGUUGAUAUUUAACUCAAUGGUACUGCUUCCUUGA
Lycium ferocissimum is the source of this 1657-nucleotide long non-coding RNA. RefSeq lists it as uncharacterized. The transcript is spliced from 3 exons. The record is from RefSeq and is a predicted model, not a curated record. NCBI's taxonomy places the organism in Eukaryota, Viridiplantae, Streptophyta, Magnoliopsida, Solanales, Solanaceae.